GUCAACAGUUAUAAUACCUUGAAGGUGCCUGAUCUCUUCUGAUUGCAGAAGAUAAGCAGGUCAGGUUUGGUUGGGAUUUGGAUGGGAGAUCCAGUGUAGUGUUAGAAUGAGAAAGGCCACUGUGUCA
Molecule: ribosomal RNA, 127 nt
Filed under: Nannospalax galili (Upper Galilee mountains blind mole rat)
Lineage: Eukaryota; Metazoa; Chordata; Mammalia; Rodentia; Spalacidae
Source: RNAcentral